RNAcentral lists this ribosomal RNA (449 nucleotides) under uncultured bacterium. RNAcentral describes it as "bacterial SSU rRNA". It matches the Rfam family "Bacterial small subunit ribosomal RNA", at positions 329 to 794 of the family's 1533-position model. The record is from RNAcentral.
UUCCAGACUCCUACGGGAGGCAGCAGUGGGGGAUAUUGCACAAUGGGGGAAACCCUGAUGCAGCGACGCCGCGUGUGGGAAGACGGUCCUCUGGAUUGUAAACCACUGUCCCCAGGGACGAAGAUGACGGUACCUGGGGAGGAAGCUCCGGCUAACUACGUGCCAGCAGCCGCGGUAAUACGUAGGUGGCAAGCGUUGUCCGGAUUUACUGGGUGUAAAGGGCGUGUAGCCGGGAAGGCAAGUCAGAUGUGAAAUCUGGAGGCUCAACCUCCAAAUUGCAUUUGAAACUGUUUUUCUUGAGUACUGGAGAGGCAGACGGAAUUCCUUGUGUAGCGGUGAAAUGCGUAGAUAUAAGGAGGAACACCAGUGGCGAAGGCGGUCUGCUGGACAGCAACUGACGGUGAGGCGCGAAAGCGUGGGGAGCAAACAGGAUUAGAUACCCGCGUAGU